Molecule: ribosomal RNA, 1541 nt
Filed under: metagenome
Description: bacterial SSU rRNA
Rfam family: Bacterial small subunit ribosomal RNA
Source: RNAcentral
AGAGUUUGAUCCUGGCUCAGAACGAACGCUGGCGGCGUGGCUAAGGCAUGCAAGUCGUACGGAUCAUGUGAUGGGUAACCAAAGCAUGGUUAGUGGCGGACGGGUCAGUAAUGCAUGGGUAAUGUACCCUGGGCACAGGGAUAGCGGCGGGGAGCAAUCCCCUUUGCGAAAGUGCCGGUAAUACCUGAUGAUAUUCACGAGUCGCAUGGCUUGUGGAUCAAAGGGUGGGGACCUUCGGGCCUAUCGGCCUGGGAGCAGCCCAUGUCCUAUCAGCUUGUUGGUGAGGUAAUGGCUCACCAAGGCAUCGACGGGUAGCGGGUGUGAGAGCACAGCCCGCGACAUCGGGACUGAGACACUGCCCGGACACCUACGGGUGGCUGCAGCAACGAAUAUUCCGCAAUGGGCGCAAGCCUGACGGAGCGACGCCGCGUGAAGGACGGAGCCCUUCGGGGUGUAAACUUCAGUAGCAGAUCAGGAAGCAAUCCCGUCUAAUAGACGGGUGCGUUGACCAGUUUGUGAAAGGGCCGGCUAACCCUGUACCAGCAGCCGCGGUAAGACAGGGGGCCCUAGCGUUGUUCGGAAUCACUGGGCUUAAAGCGCGUGUAGGCGGCCCGGCAAGUGCUUUGUGAAAGCCCCCGGCUCAACCGGGGAACUGCUUGGCAUACUGCCGGGCUUGAGGUAGGUAGAGGCGACUGGAACCUUAGGUGGAGCGGUGAAAUGCGUAGAUAUCUAAGGGAACGCCGGUGGCGAAAGCGGGUCGCUGGGCCUGCCCUGACGCUGAGACGCGAAAGCGUAGGGAGCAAACGGGAUUAGAUACCCCGGUAGUCUACGCCGUAAACGAUGCGCACUAGGUACAGGUGUCUCUGACGACUCCUGUGCCGAAACAAAAGCGUUAAGUGCGCCGCCUGGGGAGUACGGCCGCAAGGCUAAAACUCAAAGGAAUUGACGGGGGCUCACACAAGCGGUGGAGCAUGUGGCUCAAUUCGAAACAACGCGAAGAACCUUACCCGGGUUCAAGUCUAGGGAUGCCUACCGUGAAAGCGGCUUUGGCUGCUCUUCGGAGUGAAACCUAGGCCGGUGCUGCAUGGCUGUCGUCAGCUCGUGCUGUGAAGUGUUGGGUUAAGUCCCGUAACGAGCGAAACCCUUGUCGCUAGUUGCCAGCGGGUUAUGCCGGGGACUCUAGCGAGACUGCCGGUGUCAAACCGGAGGAAGGCGGGGAUGACGUCAAGUCCUCAUGGCCCUUAAGCCCGGGGCGGCACACGUGCUACAAUGGGGCGUACAGAGCGACGCAAGGCCGCGAGGCGGAGCAAAUCGCACAAAACGCCCCUCAGUUCGGAUUGGAGUCUGCAAUUCGACUCCAUGAAGUCGGAAUCGCUAGUAAUCGCGCAUCAGCCAUGGCGCGGUGAAUGUGUUCCUGAGCCUUGUACACACCGCCCGUCAAGUCAUGGGAGCUGGGAGCACCCGAAGUCCGCUCAUCAACCCUUCGGGGAGGUGGCGGCCGACGGUGAGCUCGGUGACUGGGACUAAGUCGAAACAAGGUA